This 253-nucleotide unclassified non-coding RNA is filed under the name uncultured Candidatus Altimarinota bacterium. Its description in RNAcentral is "uncultured Candidatus Gracilibacteria bacterium contains 16S-23S intergenic spacer region". It matches the Rfam family "Bacterial small subunit ribosomal RNA", at positions 524 to 776 of the family's 1533-position model. The record is from RNAcentral. Lineage: Bacteria; Candidatus Altimarinota.
UACGUAGGGUGCAAGCGUUAUCCGGAAUCAUUGGGCGUAAAGCGUUCGUAGGUGGUUAAGUAAGUUUGUGGUCAAAUCUGGUCGCUCAACGAUCAACUCGCUACAAAAACUACUUAGCUAGAGAUUGGCAGAGGCAACUGGAAUUCCACAUGUAGGGGUAAAAUCCGUUGAUAUGUGGAGGAACACCAAAAGCGAAGGCAGGUUGCUGGGCCAUUUCUGACACUGAGGAACGAAAGCGUGGGGAGCAAACAGG